CGGGCUAGAUGGGGAGUUAGCGGUGCCCUGUAACCUGCAACCCGCUAUAGCAGGAUUGAACGCUUGCCUCGGCAAUGCUAGGUCAAAAAUGUGCAGGCUUAUUUUGGCGAUGAAAUCAAGGUCUUAUGCAACGGUUGCUCCUGAACCAUGUCAGGCCCUGACGGGAGCAUCAUUAAGGGAAUACAACUGUGUGCCAUAAGGAAGCUUUGGUGGAGCGAAA
This 220-nucleotide signal recognition particle RNA is filed under the name chicken gut metagenome. RNAcentral describes it as "Bacterial large signal recognition particle RNA". It matches the Rfam family "Bacterial large signal recognition particle RNA", at positions 2 to 217 of the family's 256-position model. From Rfam's summary of the family: The signal recognition particle (SRP) is a universally conserved ribonucleoprotein involved in the co-translational targeting of proteins to membranes. Archaeal SRP consists of a 7S RNA and homologues of the eukaryotic SRP19 and SRP54 proteins. The record is from RNAcentral.